UGUUUUAUACAAUUUUAAUUAUUAAAAAUAUAUAUUUAAUUUUAAAUAUAUGUACCUUUCGAGUUAAGUGUCACAAAUUGAAUUGUGGGUAAUAUGAAAAUAUACGGGAUAUGGAGAAACCCAUUGAAUUAUUCUGCCGUAAACACCGCAAUUAACCACCAGGGGGAGAUGUUCGGAAACUGCAUGCAAUCUUGUAUUUGACCAAAUGUAAACAAUUAUCAUUUUGUCUACGAACAUCCGAUCCAGACGCAUGAUACGUCUUUGGAAAGCCACAAAACGGCUUUUUUAAUAUAAAAAAAAUAACCCCUGCAUAUUGAGCUACAGGGCACAGCACGAGCAGUGAAAGCAGGGUCCCCACAGACUUCUAUCAGGCGCGUUCACGGUCAUAACAAAGCCUACGUCAGCAUGUGCGCUUCACAGAAUGUCCGCCCCCAUGCUUGCCUGGAGUUUCACAUCGCAAUAGGAUUCUCCUCAGGUCUGUGAGGAUGAGAAGGUCUCCACAGUCUGGAGUCUGGUCUCUGACAGGCUCAACAUACCUGUCAAUCAACAGGGACUCCUCUACAAAGGCAAGGCGCUGGCAGCUAGGCUGAACAGCACAGCACAGCACAGCACAGCACAGCACAGAUCACCCCUCAUCUCGCCCCUCACCUCACCCCUCCUCUCACGCCUCGCCUCACCCCGGGUCAGUGUGGCACAGCCUGCCUGCUCUUCUGAACAAACACUUCAGUGUCUGGAGCAGCUACACAAGGUGAUGAAGUGACACUUUGAAUAUGGGGCCUGAUGAGAGAAGUAUCCUUUUCAUGUGGUUUUGGUUUUGCCGUUGUGAGCAGGUGUGGGAGACAGCACCGUGUCUUCAUGUGAAAUAACAAAGUCAUCGCAGUGGAGGGACUCUCUGAAGGCUGCUGUUUGUGGAUUUGUCUUUUAAUGUGAGUGAUCUACUGUACUGUGAUGCCACUGACUGUACGCACGCUGCACUG
This is a long non-coding RNA of Acipenser ruthenus (sterlet), 977 nucleotides long. RefSeq lists it as uncharacterized. NCBI's taxonomy places the organism in Eukaryota, Metazoa, Chordata, Actinopteri, Acipenseriformes, Acipenseridae. The transcript has 3 exons. The record is from RefSeq and is a predicted model, not a curated record.